CCUACGGGUGGCCGCAGUGAGGAAUAUUGGUCAAUGGACGCGAGUCUGAACCAGCCAAGUAGCGUGAAGGAUGACUGCCCUACGGGUUGUAAACUUCUUUUAUAUGGGAAUAAAAUGUUCCACGUGUGGGUUUUUGUAUGUACCAUAUGAAUAAGGAUCGGCUAACUCCGUGCCAGCAGCCGCGGUAAUACGGAGGAUCCGAGCGUUAUCCGGAUUUAUUGGGUUUAAAGGGAGCGUAGGUGGAUUGUUAAGUCAGUUGUGAAAGUUUGCGGCUCAACCGUAAAAUUGCAGUUGAGACUGGCAGUCUUGAGUACAGUAGAGGUGGGCGGAAUUCGUGGUGUAGCGGUGAAAUGCUUAGAUAUCACGAAGAACUCCGAUUGCGAAGGCAGCUCACUAAACUGCAACUGACACUGAGGCUCGAAAGUGUGGGUAUCAAACAGGAUUAGAUACCCCAGUAGUC
This 460-nucleotide ribosomal RNA is filed under the name uncultured bacterium. RNAcentral describes it as "partial 16S ribosomal RNA". It matches the Rfam family "Bacterial small subunit ribosomal RNA", at positions 338 to 795 of the family's 1533-position model. The record is from RNAcentral.